RNAcentral lists this ribosomal RNA (1072 nucleotides) under marine metagenome. Its description in RNAcentral is "bacterial LSU rRNA". It matches the Rfam family "Bacterial large subunit ribosomal RNA", at positions 1771 to 2864 of the family's 2925-position model. The record is from RNAcentral.
AGGAGGUGGCACAGAAGAGGGGGUAGCGACUGUUUACUAAAAACAUAGCACUAUGCAAAGUCGAGAGACGACGUAUAUGGUGUGACGCCUGCCCGGUGCCGGAAGGUUAAUAGGAGGGGUGCAAGCUCCGAAUUGAAGCCCCGGUGAACGGCGGCCGUAACUAUAACGGUCCUAAGGUAGCGAAAUUCCUUGUCGGGUAAGUUCCGACCUGCACGAAUGGCGUAACGAUUUCCCCACUGUCUCCAACAUAGACUCAGUGAAAUUGAAUUCUCGGUUAAGAUGCCGAGUAACCGUGGUUAGACGGAAAGACCCCGUGCACCUUUACUGCAGCUUUGUAUUGGUAUUAGGGGACAGAUGUGUAGCAUAGGUGGGAGACUUUGAAGGACUGGCGCUAGCCAGUCUGGAGUCACCAGUGAAAUACCACUCUUCUGUUCCUUGAUGCCUAACCAUACACCGUUAUCCGGUGUUGGGACCAUGCAUGGUGGGCAGUUUGACUGGGGCGGUCGCCUCCCAAAGAGUAACGGAGGCGCGCGAUGGUAGGCUCAGAACGCUUGGAAACCGUUCGUCGAGUGCAAUGGCAUAAGCCUGCCUGACUGCGAGACCCACAAGUCGAGCAGAGACGAAAGUCGGUCAUAGUGAUCCGGUGGCACUUCGUGGAAGGGCCAUCGCUCAACGGAUAAAAGGUACGCCGGGGAUAACAGGCUGAUCUCUCCCAAGAGUCCAUAUCGACGGGGAGGUUUGGCACCUCGAUGUCGGCUCAUCGCAUCCUGGGGCUGAAGCAGGUCCCAAGGGUUUGGCUGUUCGCCAAUUAAAGCGGUACGCGAGCUGGGUUUAGAACGUCGUGAGACAGUUCGGUCCCUAUCUGCCAUGGUUGUGGAAGCUUGAGAGGAUCUGCCCUUAGUACGAGAGGACCGGGGUGGACGUACCUCUGGUGUACCUAUUGUAGCGCCAGCUGCAUCGUAGGGUAGCUAUGUACGGAAUGGAUAACCGCUGAAAGCAUCUAAGCGGGAAGCCAACCUCAAAACUAGGCUUCGUUAUAGGAUCGUGGAAGACUACCACGUUGAUAGGCUGG